GAACUGUGUAGGUAGGCUACACUGCGGCCCGCUGCCUACUUCGCUUCAUACGGCCGAAAAGCCGUGUCUUCCUCGACCAGCCUACGGCGAUGGCGAUGAGGCGACGAGCUAGGCGUGACGGCGCCGGCUGGGCAGUGGGCGUGGCUCUCCGGCGGCCCGGAGCGGCAGACGCCGGCGAGGGAGAAUCAUCUCCAGGCCAUUCCUCAACAGUUGGCACUGUUGAUGGCAUGCAGCCACUGGCGACUCAUCAGUUCUUUUGCCCUCUCCACUAGGGCAGAGAGAGGUGUGUUACAUUCCAUGAAGCCCAUGUCACCCAAGAAAAACAUGUACUUCUCAGCCCUUGAGGGUGUCUCUUCGACCAUCGACACUGCAUCCAUCAUUCGGAAUUCAUUGAAACAAUUGGCAUAGCAAGAAUUGCACUCCAUCAUGUAUAUGCAUUGCUCUAGUAUCACCCUCCGGAUCCCAGGGCAAUGAGGAUUUGGUUUCAUGUUUGCAUUCAGUGCGUCCACUAGCCUCUUAAUGAAUCUCCGCUUCAUCUGCCCGUGCUCUAGCUCUUGGGAAAAUUCUUCAGGAAUGAGUUUGCAUAUCUGUGAACUAAGGCCAAUUAGGAUUUCUAGUUCUGCCCCCUCAGCGUCCAUUGUUCUUUCCAACACCUGUAGUGGAACCAGCAAUGCCAUGUAGCAUGAUAAAUAUAAUUGUCCAAACUAAGUUUUUUUUAGACUGGUACAAACUAAGUUAUACUUAUAUAGUUCAUUGGUAAAUAAACGACCCCUUCUUUUUACCAAAAAUGACAAAAAUUAAUAGACAGCAAAUGCACAAAUGAUAUGGCAUGCUAUACACCUCUAUAUUGCACUUGCAGUAUGUAUUAGCAGGGCUCACCUCUUGCAAUGUGUGAGAUAGUUCCUUUAGGUCUGAUUCUGUGAGCUCAUAUUGAGCGUGCAGGCACAUAUUACGCAAUAGACUUGCUGCCACAUAUAUGUAUUUGUCAUCAUGGAUCAGGAUCAUAUUUUUUAGUUUAUGAAUGAAAUCUGGUUCCUUCAACAUAACGAAGCAGUUGUGCGGAUUUUCUGAUGACAGCAUUACCAGUGCUUGCCUGGCAAUCUUUGGCAGUAAGCAAUCAACAUCUGAACUAAAUGAUCCGUUAGAAUCGAGGAAUGCCUUCAUCAGCCCGGUAAUAAGCAUUUUCAUUUGUCCAAUCUCCUGCCUUGUGUCUCCGUCAAUUGCAAGGUUUCUGAGGAUUCCUGCCACGAGCCUCCUUAGUUCUUGAUUACUGUUGCUGUCUCCCAAGAUCUCUGCAAGGUUUCUCAAUAAGAAGGGAUGUUUUGAUAUCUUAUACCGCAGUUUUAUGGCGAUUUCGCCGUCAAUUCUUGUGAGCCUCUGCAACACCUUCAACGAUGACUUUAAGAGAACCUUCUGUUGUGCUUCAGAAUUUACCAUUGCACUUCUGAAGCUUGUGAAUCCAAUGAUUUUGGGGAUCAGGGAGAAGAUCAUCGUUUGUCAAUGGCUGCUCCUUGGGAAUUGACCAGUACGCCAGUAUCCUAUGCAAAAUUCUAGGAGUGGGUGCCCUCUUUUCGGCUUUCCAUCAGCAUCCAGAAGAGUAGAUACAAGCUGCAAUGUCCCAGGGACAGUUCCAACUCGGAGGUUCUUUGCGAGCUCGGCAGUGACCUUGGCGGCAUAUAACCUGAUAGCUGUACAAUGGUGUCUACUACUCCAGUCCAACAUGCUGAUUAACCUGGCCAUCGUCUGUGUUGAACCGGUGAGUUUCUCUAGCAACCGUGCCCUGGUCAGAUCACUUUGCAGUAAUGUGUGCAUCAUCCGGACAGCGUAUAGCUGAUUCUUGGAUAGGUCCGAAUUCAGAGAAUCCAUGGCAAAGUUGCCGAGGCUGAUCCUCUUUGGAGCAAACAGACCUCCUUCCAUGUAUUUGUCGUAGGCGUAUGCGUAGUACAGAUCGACAGAUUCCGCUCCCCACUGACCUGUAAACCACCAUGGCGGACGAGGUGUCUCCGAGGGAUGAAGCAGAAGAUCUCCAACACCGCGGCAAUGAUGUAAAGUAUUCCCUGGGCAAUCACCAUUGCGUAGAACAUUUUUAGAGAUGGGACAAGAUUUGCAUGGCCGUCGUAGCCCUUUGGAUUAA
Molecule: non-coding RNA, 2134 nt
Organism: Oryza sativa Japonica Group (Japanese rice)
Lineage: Eukaryota; Viridiplantae; Streptophyta; Magnoliopsida; Poales; Poaceae
Source: RefSeq, a predicted model, not a curated record